UUGGUAGAUAGGUGAUAAUCAAAUGUCCGAGAGUGCUGUAUUUAGUAAACCCAUUUCGUUCCUCUCCACAGUUUAAUUAUAUGGGCACAGCAGGGACGGAGAUGAAAUGAAUAAGCCUCACAAGUUAAUAGCAGUAUUAUGAAGGAACACUCAUCUGCUCAGCAUCAAAAACAGAGUCCAGAGACCAGUUCCCUGAUCACAAACAAGUUAGAACUGUUUCGUCAGCUUCCUUGGAUGACUUUGGAAAUCCCUGAAUUCUUGUGUGUCCUCAGAGAUGUGGACUUUGAAGACAGCCUCUGCUCCCUUUCCCUGUUGAUCAAAGACCCAUGGAGCACUACAUUCCAAACAGGGAUGUGGUGAUCCCAAGAAUUCAAACUACAGAAGCCUUCAUCUUUGCUGGGUAAAGAAUUUUCAGGUGUGGCCUGUUGGGGAAACACAUCCAUACCAUGGAAGAAAUUUUAGCAGCACAGCCUCCUCCUCAACAUGAACAAAUCAGUGAGACCCUCUUGCCUGUGACUGAUCGCCAGAGGAGUGAGGAGGAUCACAUCUGUGCUGCCGAGAAGAUCGCACAUCUGAGGGACUUCAAAAUUCUUCCAUGGAUAGAAACCUGUGUCUCUCUACAUACUUUAGAUGUGAGAAGAACAGCUAUGUCUUGGGUGACCAAGAGGCUGGAAUGAGUUCUGAUUCGCUUUGCAUUCCUGGUGCCUGGCAUAGGGCAGACACCUGCAGACCCUG
Molecule: long non-coding RNA, 735 nt
Filed under: Cricetulus griseus (Chinese hamster)
Lineage: Eukaryota; Metazoa; Chordata; Mammalia; Rodentia; Cricetidae
Description: lncRNA (ENSCGRG00000024212.1)
Source: RNAcentral